This is a long non-coding RNA of Bactrocera oleae (olive fruit fly), 915 nucleotides long. RefSeq lists it as uncharacterized. Lineage: Eukaryota; Metazoa; Arthropoda; Insecta; Diptera; Tephritidae. The record is from RefSeq and is a predicted model, not a curated record.
UUUUGCUAACUCAUUCAGAGUGGAAAAAGUGAUUCGACGCAUGCAAAAGUGUAUAGACCUUAAUGGAGAAUAUUUCAAAAAACAAUAAAGCGAUUUUCGAUUCGUAGAGGUAUACACGCAAAGAAUAUAUAAUAAGUUGAGUGACCACAUAUAGAAACGAUAAAAAUUUUCUGUAACGACAACUGCAACAAAACUGACAGAGAACUCGAUGACUGCAGUAUUACAACAAAGACGACAAAUUAUAAUUAGAGAGAGCAGAUGGUAGACACAAAGGCAGAAUAUGGCAAUCGGAUCAACGCAGCGAAGUUACAGACAGAUGCCAAUAAAUUUGAGUAUUUUAAAAAGCAGAAAGAGUGGCUAAUGACUUCAAAGGACAAAGAACUUCGAUGCGAGGUGUGGAAAAGAGAUGUAUACAUGUGUGCUGAACAAUGGUGUUAAACUAGAAAAUUGUGGAUCAAUGUACGCAGUUCCUGAGCAAACACACUGCUGACGUUUAAUAUCAAUGGCGGUUCACAGAGGCCAAGCGCACACUGAUAUAGCAUAUCUCAUAGCAAAUCUAAGAGAAUUUUGUACAAAUGAGAAAAAACUUGAACCUUAUUGGAAGCCACACUUGUAUACAGUUAUGCAUAUUUAAUGACUAAGCUUUUUUACACACAUGCUAUUCUUACAUACAUAUGUACAUAGGUAUUAAUAGCAAGUAAGGAAUAACAAAGCCCGUCAAAUGUUGCGCAAGAAUUCAACAUUCAUUAUUCGACGAAAUCCUGAAUUGAUUACAACAAAUUUGGUAUUAUAUUAAGCUAUAUUAUAGGUCAUAGACUGAAUUAGUUUUAUUGUUACUGUAUAUUUCAUUUCGCGUCAGCUAAAAUUAUAAUAAAAACAUCCUCAAAUUUUACGUAUAACAUGAUAUAAACUCAA